This 449-nucleotide ribosomal RNA is filed under the name uncultured bacterium. RNAcentral describes it as "partial 16S ribosomal RNA". It matches the Rfam family "Bacterial small subunit ribosomal RNA", at positions 29 to 523 of the family's 1533-position model. The record is from RNAcentral.
AGCGAACGCUGGCGGCAGGCCUAACACAUGCAAGUCGAACGGAUCCUUCGGGAUUAGUGGCGGACGGGUGAGUAACACGUGGGAACGUGCCCUUUGGUUCGGAACAACUCAGGGAAACUUGAGCUAAUACCGGAUGUGCCCUUCGGGGGAAAGAUUUAUCGCCAUUGGAGCGGCCCGCGUCUGAUUAGCUAGUUGGUGAGGUAAAGGCUCACCAAGGCGACGAUCAGUAACUGGUCUGAGAGGAUGAUCAGCCACAUUGGGACUGAGACACGGCCCAAACUCCUACGGGGGGCAGCAGUGGGGAAUUUUGCGCAAUGGGCGAAAGCCUGACGCAGCCAUGCCGCGUGAAUGAUGAAGGUCUUAGGAUUGUAAAAUUCUUUCACCGGGGACGAUAAUGACGGUACCCGGAGAAGAAGCCCCGGCUAACUCCGUGCCAGCCGCCGCGGUAA